RNAcentral lists this long non-coding RNA (15535 nucleotides) under Citrus sinensis (sweet orange). Its description in RNAcentral is "long non-coding RNA (CSIN_LNC003292)". The record is from RNAcentral. Lineage: Eukaryota; Viridiplantae; Streptophyta; Magnoliopsida; Sapindales; Rutaceae.
UUUUGUACUAGGAGGUUCAGCACAGAAUUGUGGAAGCGGCGUUGUGUGCGGUGAACGUGAUACUGGCCACGGGACGGAUGGCGGUGAACUGGGCAAGAUCAUCUCAAGGGAGAUGUUUGAAGACUUGCUUCCGUAUAGAAAUGAUGCCCGAUGCCCUGCCAGAGGCUUCUACACUUAUGAUGCUUUUAUAGAGGCAGCCCAAGCUUUUCCAGGCUUUGGUAACUCUGGAAAUGAAACCAUGCGUAAAAGAGAAAUUGCUGCCUUUUUUGCCCAAACUGGCCAUGAAACUACUGGUUUGUUUCAAUUCCUGAUCAAAUUAAUUAAAUUUAAAGAUUCCUUUUUCCGGUGCACUAACAAGUAAUGUGCAAGUAUUAAAUUAUAAAUAAACAAUAUCACCCAAUCUCCAAUCGGUAUUUUAAUUUGUUACUAAUCAAUUUUUGUGGUUAAUAAACUUACAGGGGGAUGGACCGAUGCACCUGGUGGAGAAUAUGCUUGGGGAUAUUGCUAUAUUAGGCAAGUUAGCCCUGCGUCGUCCGACUACUGUUAUCCUUACUGUCCAUGUCCCUUGCCAGGGCAAUACUAUGGCCGAGGUCCAAUUCAACUCACUUGGUAGGCUGAACAUUUUGAAUUAGUAUAUCAUUGUCUGAUCUGAAUGAGAAAGUCUUGCCCUCUUGAAUUGAAAACUUGUUAAAUGUGCAUUUACAUUCUAUCCAACAUUAAUUAUUCACUAACUUCUUGGUGUACAGGAAUUGCAAUUACUUAAGGUGCGGAGAAGCCUUGGGGGUGGACUUGUUGAACAAUCCAGACCUACUUGCCACUGAUCCAGUACUAUCAUUCAAGUCAGCAAUCUGGUUCUGGAUGACUGCACAGCCACCAAAGCCAUCGUGCCACGAAGUCAUUAUCGACGAAUGGAAACCAUCAGCAAAUGACGUAAACGCCGGCCGGCUUCCGGGAUACGGUCUAACCACAAAUAUAAUCAACGGUGGAAUUGAAUGUGGCUACGUUGGGAAUGACGCUGUACGUAACCGUAUUGGGUUCUUUACCACUUUCUGUGGCAAGUUUGGGAUUCAGCCUGGUGACAAUCUUGAUUGCUCCAACCAACGGCCUUAUGGCCUUAAUCUGAUGGCACAAUCUAUGUGAUCAUCAUGAUCAACGUUUUAGUAAAAUAAGCUUAAUAAAAGCUACUUAAUAAAAACUUUAGAUGUCACACUUGUAGGUGGACAACUAAACUGUUACGCUCUUAUUGUAAGUAAAUUAAAUAAGACUGAUCCAACAUGGAUCAAUGAGUCUUCUCCAUCUUUCAUCGUUUGAUUAUUUUAACAUGACAAUUAUUUGCAACGCAAAAAGUGCCGUUGACACUUAUCCUGCCUAUACAGAUAAAGGCAAUAUCCAAUUCUGUAAGCCACAUGCAUAUUCAACGGCAUUGCUAUUCAUCAUCAUGAUGCUCAUUGUGGUACAGAUUAUAAAAUUUUGAUUAGGUCUGCUAUCCAACGUGGCUUGUCUCUCACUUGGAGGAAAUGCCUGGCAAACGAGUCAUGCAUGCAUCAAAUCAUUAUGAAGUUAGUACGCGUAUUGCUGCAGAAAUCACCCUACUACAAAGACAGCUAGAACAUUUUUGGAUACCUAAGCCCUGGGAAGUUAGUCUACCAUGUGGAUCUCAAUAAUAGAUAAUACUUUAUCAUCUAGUAGGCGACAAUAGGAAACUUCACAACAAUGAUUUCUAUUUUAAAAUUGGAUACAAUUUGCCAUAAACAAAAAUAAGGGGUUCUCUAAGAUGUUUGAACCAAUGAUUUAAUGGGGAAAAGAAUCUGAAGAAUUUACAGUUAAGUUUCACCUGUUCAUCCUACGCAUUCAUUUAUUUUUACUUCAAAGAAGGCGAAAUGAUAAUCAAGUAUCAUCUAGCAAUAUUUAAGAGUGAAAGCAACCGAUACUGAGAUGGAAGAAAGGUGAUAUACCAGACAAACAAUUUGUUUUUUGUAUAUAAUUUCAUUUCUAUAGGAUGAUACAGGUAUAUUUCAAUCAUUUACAAGUAUGACAAUAAAAUUUGUAAUCUAAUUGUUGAGGAUGUUGAGAAAGGAGACUCUAGCUUUGAUCAAACGCCUAGACAAGGAUCAAAGGCCUUCUUCAAGAUCUUGGAUGCUGGACUCCAAUUCUUUCAGCUGGUUUUGCAAAUAAACAGUGUUAACAGAUUUGAGUGUCAAUGCGGCAUCCACCUUCUCAAACUCAUUCGUUUCUAUCUUGACUUCCUCACAAGCUAUUCUUUUGGGGCGGAUGAGUUUGGAAGCCAAUACAAACCCACUUAGCUUUGAUGGAAUCCCAGCACCCGAGAUAAAGGACAGCAAGGAUCCAAAUGCAGCUAAGGUUACUGCUUCAACCUCUUUCAACGCGCUAACAUGUUCCUCAUUGAUUAGAGAAGAGCAUUUGUUUCCCAUGCCUUACAAACAAUAACCAAAAUAGCACACGUAAACAACACAGUUUAUAAAUGAUUCUAUCCAUAACUGAUUUUAUGUAAUAUUCAUUUGUGUAUGCAGGCGAGCAGAUCAACACAGAACAAAAGGAAGACUACCAGAAAUGAUCAAAUCUAGGAAGUUGCUGUGUUAUCGUAAUAUCACACUAUAAUUAAAAAUGACAGCACAUUAAUUCAGAAUUAACAAACUUCAAAGUGAAAGCAAAAACAGGCAUGUACCUCUAAAAACAACAUUGUGAGGAGUUUUAGUACAAUGCUGUUGAAGAAUGUUAGCAUCAUCAUAUGCAGGCGGUGAAUUACUGAAUUCUGCAACAGUGAACAACUUUUGAUAAGCUUAACGCAGAAAAGGAAAAAGAGAGGGCGAAGGAGAGAGAGAAGUGCACAUAAAAUAUGAAAAAACAGUGAUAGAUAUUGAACAAGAAGUAUAACUUCAUGCACCUGAAAUAUCAAUUUGUAUAUCAGAUGCUCCAGAGAAGUCCCUGAGUCUAACAUGAUAAACAAAUCAGAUUAUAGUCAAAUGGCAAUCAAACUAAAAAGCAAUAGUCCAAAGAAACAUACAGCUCAUCAGUGCUAAAAUUCAUCUCAGGAUCAUUAAGGCAUUCGGAAAUCCACCCCUCUAAUGACUGAUCUGUACCAUCACAACUAGAGGCAGAUACACCUGCUAAGAUAUGUCACAAUAUGAUUAGAGAACUCGAAAAUAGACAUUCAAGUUCUUGACUGUAUCAUAAUGUAGUUGCAAAAUACAAACCUGAAAACUCAGUAGUCCACUGAGAUGCUUCAGGUAAUACUUCUUCGACUGACUCCCCCCUCUCCUACACAGAAUGAAGAACAUAAAUAUUAGCAAUGUUGAAAGGACAAGCAAGGAGCAAUUUAGACAUAUGAUCAAAUAACUAAAACGUGCUCCAUAAUAUAAAGACAUGAUGCUAUUACAGAAUGAUCACAAAGAAGAGAUGUGGCCCGCACUGACAUUUGAUUUAAGGAACGGAGAUGGCAUUUCAUCACUGCAUAGGGAAGAAUCUACCACUUGAGUGUCAAAUUGUAACAUUCGUCGCCUCUUUAUUUGGGAAUAAGUCUCCCUACAAUCUUUUGGUUCCUUGCUCAUAUUACCUGAAAUCAACUCUCUCAAAUAAAAAAAAAACAUUGUCCAACCAGCAUGAUCUUUCAACGCAAGAAAAAGAAAUUGUGAGAGUCAAUGAAUGCUAGCAAAACAAGCCCCUACCGUUAUGAGUGGCAUGGUAAGCCAAAUCCCCACAUGCCUUAACCGGGGUUGUUUCAUCAUCAAGCAUGUAGGAAAGAUCCUCCCCAUUCAGAGCCACUUCAUUCCAUUGUGACCCAGACAUGUCUGCUAAAAUAAAAAAAUGACACAUACCCAGAUAUCACCACUCUCAUUCUACACGCCAAGCUUGGCCAAAAUCACUAGUUUCUGUAAAACACUUGAAUAACAUGCAAACUACACAUCGAGUCCUUUCCAAUUCCAAGACUUACGAUAACCAGUUUAACAAUCACCAAAUACACUUCCAAUGCACGAUAUAUAAACAAAUUUUUAGAAAUACAAGUCAUGAAAUUUCUCCGAUAAAAAAAAAAAAAUUCCAAUUUGUAUUGAGUCAGCCAUUGUGAAUAAGCUUUCUAAAUUCUAAUAGCAUUUGAGUCAAUUAUAAAAAACAAUAUACCAGAUUAAAUUUACUAAAAGAUUAAAAAAACAAAACAAUAGAAAAUCAAAUUACACACGAAACCCUAGAUUGUCUAUUUCAAGCAAAGUAUGUAACUUAUAAUAAAAUUAAAUGCAGAUUUGAGAACCCAAAAAUACCACAAUUGAAUUAGAGAGUGUUAUUAGUUAGGGUUUUAAUGAGAAUGAAAAACACUGAGGAAACCGGGAACGUGCAGGAUAAAAAGCAUUACCAGUGGAAGCGUAAGAUAGAGAACGGCAAGUUAAAGUGCGCCUCGAGGAAUAGAGACACAGAGAGAGAGACGAGCACCCCAAGCACUGUAAGUAACUGGGAGUGGAAAAUAAAGGGGUCGUUUGAUUUUGUCGUCUUCUACUUCCUCCUCUUUGUUAGUUUUUGUUUUUUUUUUUUAAAUGAGUGUGGCAACGUGAAUCACCCAAUUUUUUUUAUGGGUCCCGUUACCUUACAAAAUAUGUAACAAACAUUAAAGAAAUUGACAAACAAAUCAACAACAUUAUAAUUUGGAUUUUACCGAUUGAAGCGGUCUGUAGCCGGUUGAAAAAAGUAAGUCGAAAGAUGAAUAAUUUCUCCUAUAGCGUGUGCAACCCAAAGCGACAUGAUUUCUUUGAACUCUCAGGCUGAGGAAACUUCCUACUUGCGCAUAUCCGCCCGCCCUGAGCGAGAAAACGAACAGAUCGAGGUCGGAAUGGGAUCCGGUGUUUUCACGUCUCACCGUAGUGCCCGGUUUGGCGGUUCAGCUUGCUUCUAUGGCUCACGCAUGAACAGCAACACUCAUGCAGAUUGACAUGGAUGAUCCUUGGGGUUACUUUUUUUAUUUUUAUUAAGAGCUUUAUCCGAUUUGCUGCCAAACGCUUCAAAAAGAGAGUUUUUGCUGUCCAUUUGAAGCCGGUGAAAGAUGCAGUCUCAUGUGAAAGAUGCAGUUUCAUGUCCUGCUCGUAUUGGAUGCAAAAAAUCGAAAGUUUAAUUAGAUUCAUUCUAGUUUUUUUCCUGAGUUGAUUAAAAAGACUGGACAUAACUUAUGGAUUUUAUGCAUUAUGCUGCCUCUUCAUCAAAUAACUCAAAAAUGAAUCCUUUGUAAUUUUGAUGUGGACUAAUUGGGGAGCAAGAAAGGGUGUGCUUUUUAAAAGAUGAAGAUGCAAAGAAGGUUUUUUCUAAAGCCAAAGCCACUUCACCGUUUGUGCUGAGAGUAGUCAUCAAUGAGGUAUUAAUUUUUAACUCCAUUGAUGCAAGCUCCAAGGAACUUUUCAUGGUCGCCUGCCCCUGAAUAUUUGUAUAAAUUAAAUCUUGAAGAUGUAAUGUUUGAUCAUAAAUCAAGGGGCAGGAGUUGGUGCUAUUAUAAAAAAAAAAAAAAAAAAUUUCAUAGUUGCUGUGAAAACCAGCUUUAAUGGCACUGAAUCGAAUUACAAAAAGGAAAAUUUCUUGCCUCCUGAAUCGAAUUCAAACAGUAACCCUUGCUUUGACCCGGUGGCCCAAGCGGUUUUCUUUCACCAGUUUUCCCAGUUUCCCAUCACUUCUUUUUUUCUGUUCAUUUCAUUCCCAUUCGUUCGAUUUUAGUGUUCACAUCUAACGGCCCUCAUUCAUGCAAUGUUUGUUACAUGAUGAUGUAACUUAACCUGACCUUUUUUACAUUCUAUUUAUAAAAAUAAAUUCAUUAUUAAAAAUUAAAAAUAUCAAAAUUACUUUUUGCUAACUAUUUUUUAUUUUGUAAUUACAUAUUCUCUCUCUACUUUUAUAUUAUAUAAAUUAAAUUCCCAACUUUACAUUUUUUUAAAUUUAUUUUUUUGACAUUUCUUAGUAUAUUCUAAUCUAUAUUCAUACUUUAUGUAUGCAAAAUAUUUUUUUCUUGAUACUUACUAACUUUUGUGUUUAGUAAAAAUUAAUUUAUUGAUAUUCAUUAAUUUUCAUUACUUAUAAAAUUUGUUAAUAUUCAUUUUAAAAUAGUGGAUUUUUUAAACUAAUGAUAUCAAUUACUUGCGGUUAAAAUAAUAUAUAUAAAUAAAUUGAUGGAAUUUAUGAAAUUGAAAAGAAAAAGAGAAGAAAUAGUUAAUUAAGUAAUUUUUUUAAAAAUCAUUCAAAUAAUAUAAUUUUUAAGAGGGGGCUAUUUGAACACACCAGUUUUCUCUCUACAUUCUUUUUCUAAUUGAGAAUUUUAUUAUCUAAAUAGUUUUCAAUAAAAUUACUUAAUUAACUCUUUCUUCUCUUUCUCAUCUCAAGUUCACAAAUUCCCAUCAAUCCAUUGAGAUAUAUUUUUUUAGUCACAAAUAAUUGAUAUCACAAACUAGGGAAAACAAAAUCCACAGUUUAAAUUAAAUGUCAACAAAAUUUUAUGAGUCAUGAAAGUCAAUAAAUAUCAAGAAAUUAAAUUUUAAUAAACAGGAAAUUAAUGAACAUCAAGAAAAAGUUUUUAUAUAUAAAAAGUAUGAAAUAGAGGUCAUGAUCUAUUAGAAAAGACCAAAAAUGAAUUUAAAAAAUAGUGAAACUUGAGUCUUUAGUUUAUAAAAUGUGAGAAUUUGCAAUUGUCAGGUAUAGAGAGAGAUUCAUGAAAGGUAAUCUUGAUAUUUUCAAAUAGUCCCAUCUAAUAUUUGAUUGGAAAGCGCGUGUGGACAGAAAAUUAGCGGACUCAAAUAGCCCCACUCUUUCUUUAAUUUCGCAUUGACCCCGAUUAUUUUGUGAUUUUCUCCUUUUAGUCAAUAUUAAUUGUUGUUACUGGAUUUUCCCCUGAGACCUAGAGCGAGCCCAUAACGUUCAUGCUCGAGGACUUCCCUGCCCCGAGAACCAAGCCCAAUAAUCUUGAGGCCUUUGCAGGUUUAUCCAGGAAAGGUGCCUCUGCUAGGAUAAGAAAAGUCAAUUCGGGUUGUGAGUCGAUCCUCAGCCUAGUAAGUGAUGACAGCGUACAGUAAUGAUCUUUGACAAACACCAAAAGAUCGAUUAAUAUGAAAAUGACGAUGUGCUCGUUUUGCAUUUGUUAUUCUUCAGUCACAUCCUCUUUUGCUUCUGUCUGCCUUUACAACAACAAUUUACCAUCAACCUUCAAGCAUUUUUGCACAAACAGCCAAAAAAACACCAAAUAUCAUCGCCCCACUUGCCCUUGUUUAGUUUUUUUCAAGCUCACAGCCAAUCUCAGUACACUGGGAUAAAGACUAGAAGCAGAGAACAGCCGCUGCCAGCUCUAGAAGAUGUGAAAUAAAGAAGACCAUCAAAAUCCUUAAUUAUUGCUUGUCUAUGUCAAGGUUUUAAAGAUAAACAAUCUUGAUAGGCUUUCUUACGUAAGACAUAUAGAUCCAACGAAAAUUAGAUGAAACGUUUAGACACAAGACUUUUAACUUUGAUAUCGUAUAAAGAGUAUAUUUAUAAUAUAAUCUAUUGUUUGGCACAUCGUCUCUGAGUCUCAAUAAAAAAUUUUUAAGUUUUUCGUUGCUAGCUUCUUAAAUUUUCAUGUAUUAUACAUAAUAUAUUAUGAGUGAGGAGUCAUAAACUAAUGAAUAUGGAAACUUAGGAUAAAAAGUUUGAGAUUUUUUUAAAUAAUUUAUGUAGGUAUUUUAUUUUAUAGAAGUCCAUGGACUUACUCAAAUGCUAACUAAGACUUGAGGGUUGCCUAAACUUUUAUAUACCUAACCAAAAAUUUAUUAUCAAACAAUGUGAGAUAUUAUCCCUAACCCUUAACGGUGUGGAGUACAAUCCUUAAUAACAUAUUCCUUUGAAGAAAUUAAAAGAAAAAAAACUUAGUUCGGUAUUUCAAAAAGGGGAGAUUGCCAAAUUCUCUUUAUUGUUAUUGAUAUAUAUCAUUUACCCUCUUAACGGUUUUUAUAAUAGCCAAUAACCCCUUAACAACAUUAGUUUAUAAUAUUAUUCAUAUUUUCAAAUACACUUUUAUUUUUAUUUAUUAUAAAUUAAAUAAAUCAUAUGAAUAGAAACUGAAUAAAAAAUAAGUAUUAAAAACAAUAAAUAUAUGUUUUGAUGUGAACAAAAAAAUUAGUAAUAAAAUUUUUUCUUGUACUUUUUUAUUUUCUAAACAUUUUCUUCUAAUAAAUAUUUUGUAAAUUAUAAAAUUAAAUGUAAAAAGUACAAUAACAAUAUUUUAUUAUUUAUUUUAUAAUAAUUUUUUAUUUAUCAUUCAAGUUUUCUUAUAAUAAUUUUUUUAUAAAAUAAAAAGUAUAAGAAAAAUAAUUUAUUAUUAAUUUUUAUAUCAAAAUAUAUAUUUCUUAUUUUUAAUACUUAAUUUUUUAUUUUAAUUUCUAUUCAUAUGAUUUAUUUAAUCUAAAAUAAAUAUGAAUAAGAGUGUAAUUAAAAAUAAGGAUAAUAUUAUAAAUUUAUACAAUUAAGAGAGUUAUUAGUUAUUAUAAAAAUAAUAAGAGACAAAUGUUAUAUAUCGAUUACAGUAUUGGGAAAAUUAGCAACCUCUCUUCAAAAAACCUUGACAUAUACGUUCUAUAAAUAUAACCCUCUAGCCAAAGCUGUGACAUACACCAAGCAGAGGAUAAUUGAUAUCAUAACUGUUGCUUUCAAAAUGAGGCUUAUUGGGUCCUUACUAAUUUUCUCUCUAGUUUUAUCUUUUGUACUAGGAGGCUCAGCACAGAACUGUGGAAGCGGCGUUGUGUACGGUGGACGUGAUACCGGCCAUGGGACGCAUGGCGGUGAACUGGGCAAGAUCAUCUCAAGGGAGAUGUUUGAUGACUUGCUUGAGUAUAGAAAUGAUGAACGAUGCCCUGCCAGAGGCUUCUACACUUAUGAUGCUUUUAUAGAGGCAGCCCAAGCUUUUCCAGGCUUUGGUAACUCUGGAAAUGAAACCAUGCGUAAAAGAGAAAUCGCUGCCUUUUUUGCCCAAACUGGCCAUGAAACUACUGGUUUGUUUCAAUUCCUGAUCAGCUUAAUUAAAUUUAAAGAUUCCUUUUUCCGGUGCACUAACAAGCAAUGUGCAAGUAUUAAAUUAUAAAUAAACAGCAUCACCCAAUCUCCAAUCGAUAUUUUAAUUUGUUACUAAUCAAUUUUUGCGGUUAAUAAACUUACAGGGGGAUGGCCCGAUGCACCUGGUGGCGAAUAUGCUUGGGGAUAUUGCUUUAUAAGCGAAGUUAGCCCUCCGUCCGACUACUGUGAUCCUAACUAUCCAUGUCGAGGGAAGUACUAUGGCCGAGGUCCAAUUCAACUCUCUUGGUAGGCUGAACAUUUUGAAUUAGUAUAUCAUUGUCUGAUCUGAAUGAGAAAGUCUUGGCCUCUUUAAUUAAAAACUUGUUAAAUGUGUAUUUACAUUCUGUCGAACAUUAAUUAUUAACUAAUUUGUUGGUGUUUAGGAAUUACAAUUACUUACGGUGCGGAGAAGGCCUAGGGCUAGGAGAGGAGUUGUUGAACAAUCCAGACCUUCUUGCUACUGAUCCAGUACUAUCAUUCAAGUCAGCAAUCUGGUUCUGGAUGACUGCACAGCCACCAAAGCCAUCGUGCCACGAAGUCAUUAUCGACGAAUGGAAACCAUCAGCAAAUGACGUAAACGCCGGCCGGCUUCCGGGAUACGGUCUAACCACAAAUAUAAUCAACGGUGGAAUUGAAUGUGGCUAAGGUGGGAAUGCCGCUGUACGUAACCGUAUUGGGUUCUUUACCACUUUCUGUGGCAAGUUUGGGAUUCAGCCUGGUGACAGUCUUGAUUGCUACAACCAACGACCUUAUGGCCUUAAUCUGAUGGCACAAUCUAUGUGAUCAUCAUGAUCAACGUUUUAGUAAAAUAAGCUUAAUAAAAGCUACUUAAUAAAAACUUUAGAUGUCACACUUGUAGGUGGACAACUAAAUUGUUAGUUUGUUACGCUCUUAUUGUAAGUAAAUUAAAUAAGACUGAUCCAACAUGGAUCAAUGAGUCUUCACCAUCUUUCAUCGUUUGAUUAUUUUUUUGAGUUUUUUUGUUAAAAUUUUGUACGUUUGUGGUUAGUUAUUUUAACAAAAUAAUUAGUCGAGAAAGGUAAAUGUUUUGGGGGUGAGAAAUACCACGAUCAGGCACACGAGGAGAAUGUGCUCCCUCUGCCUAGAAUGACUCCUUGAGGAAGAUUAGACCCGAUGAAGUGUGUGGCUGGUCACACGAGUAGAGUUGGCUCGAGACAUGCAAGGAGGGACCAGAACCAAGUCAAUUCGAAGACUUGGUCAAAGGUCAACCCGUGGGUUUCCUCCAAAGAAUUUGGGCACAAAGCUCACUCACCAGCAGUUACACUGCCCAUUCGCCCAUGGUUAUGUAAUCAACCCAUCAACGAAGUCGAGGGAGAAGAGGCUAAUAAUUCUGGUUGGAUAUGAAAGCUUCAGAGAACAGAGUUAAGGGAGUUAGACAACUUUUCAUUUAAUUUUCUCAUACUCUCAAUCUAUUCACAAUUUUAUCUUCUCUAUCAUUCUUUCUUUCUGAAAUAAAACCUUUCUUUUAUUUAGAGCAGUUUAAUUACGCCAUGGGAAUCGUGACCUAAGUUUUUCUAGGCAAACCCAAAUCGCUGACUUGAGCGUCGGAGGGAUUACGGUGGAAAAACCUCUAGCAUCUCCUGACUAGUUGUUGUGAACACAUGUGUUCUUGGAGGAAGUAUUUGAGGUCACAUGAACUUGUUCGAUAGUGGGGAAGCUAGGGGCAGAUCCAGGAUUUUAAAGUACCCCGAGCUAAAUUUUUUAUAAAAAAAAGUUAUAUUGUAAAGUGAACAUAAAAUUUUAUAAGAAAAAAAUAAAAUACACAUAAUAAGAUGAGAACAUUAGAAAUCUUACACUAAAUAAUAAUUACUUUAAAUAAAAUAAUUAUAUAAAAAUAAAAAAUAAAAAUAUAAUUCAAAACAAAAAUAUAACUAAAGUUGUAUUUUUCGCAACUUCAAACAAUAAAAUUCAUCAAUUAUGGAUUUUGGAUCAAUAGUAUCUGCAAUUUCUCUUUCAGCAUAGACAACCAUACAAUUAGAAAGAAACUCAUUUUCUAUUUUAUUGCAAAGUGAUGUCUUGAUAAGGCUCAUGGUUGAAAAUGCAUGCUCUGUUUGUGGCUGCAAAUGAAAGGAGUUUCUUGACUUGGAUUUAUCGGACACAUUAUACCUAUAAAUUACCAUAACAUGAAACUACAUAAGAAUUAAUAAAUUAACUAAUAAUUACAAGCUUAAUUAGCAUGCUUAAAUAAAUUAAACAAUUCAAUUUUUUUCAUCUUUUCUAUUUCUAAAAAAUAUUAUUAGUAAAAAAAUGAGAUGAAGAUUACACGAAAUUGCAGAUACUAUUAUUAGUAAACAAUUCACACUUGACUAACAUGCAAACAACACAUUGAGUCCUUGCCAAUUCCAAGACUUGCGAUAACCAGUUGCACAAUAUAUAAACAAAUUUUUAGAAAUACAAAUCAUGAAAUUUCUCCCCAAAAAUUAAAAAAAAAAAUCCAAUUUGUAUUGAGCCAGCCAUUGUGAUUAAGCUUUCUAAAUUCUAAUAGCAUUUGAGUGAAUUUUAAAAAACGAUAUACCAGAUUAAACUUACUAAAAUAUUAAAAAAAUAGAAAAUCAAAUUACAUACGAAACCCUAGAUUGUUACUUCAAUCAAAAUAAGUACCUUCUAAUAAUUUUAAAUGCAGAUUUGAGAACUCAAAAAUACCACAAUUGAAUUCGAGUGUUAUUAAUUAGGGUUUUAAUGAGAAUGAAAAACACUGAGGAAACUGGGAACGUGCAGGAUAAAAAGCAUUACCAGUGGAAGCGUAAGAUAGAGAACGGCAAGUUAACGUGCGCCUCGAGGAAUAGAGAUAGAGAGAGAGAGAGACGAGCACCCCAAGCACUGUAAGUAACUGGGAGUGGAGAAAUGGCACGAGUGGAAAAUAAAGGGGUCGUUUGGUUUUGUCGUCUUCUACUUUUGUUUUGUGUUUUUUUUUUUUUUUUAAAUGAGCGUGGGUAUCUGAAUCAUCCAAUUUUUUUUUAUAUUCUAUUUAUAAAAAUAAAUUCAUUAUUAAAAAUUAAAAAUAUCAAAAUUACUUUUUACUAAUUAUUUUUUAUUUUAUAAUUACAUAUUCUCUCUCUACUUUCACAUUCUAUAAAUAAUUUUUAAGUAAUUUUUUACAAAUCAUUCAGAUAAUAUAAUUUUUAAGAGUGAGGUUAUUUGAAUCCACCAAUUUCAUCUCUAUAUCUUUUUCUAAUUGAGAAUUUUAUUAUCUAAAUAGUUUUUAAUAAAAUUACUUAAUUAACCCUUUCUUCUCUUUCUUAUUUCAAUUUCACAAAUUCUCAUUAAUUCAUUGAGAUGUAUUCUUUUAACUGCAACUAGGAAAAAUAAAAUCCACAGUUAAAAUUGAAUGUCAACAAAUUUUUAUGAGUCAUGAAAGUUAAUGAAUAUUAAGAAAUUAAUUUUUAGUAAACACAAAAGUUAAUGAAUAUCAAGAAAAAGUUCUUAUAUAUAGAAAGCAUGAAAUAAAGGUUAUGAUCUACUAGAAAAGACCAAAAAUGAAUUCAAAAGAUAGUAAAAUUGAGUUUUUAAUUUAUAGAAUGUGAGAAUAAAAAGAGAAUAUGCAAUUGUAAGGUAUAGAGAAAGAUUAAUCGAGGAUAAUCUUGAUAUUUUCAAAUUUUAAAAUUUUAAUAAUGAAUUUAUUAUUUUUUAAAAAUAGGUAUAGAGAGAAAUUUGGUGGGAUCAAAUAGUCCCACCUAAUAUUUAAUUAGAAAGAUGGUGUAAGGAGAAAGUUGGCAGAUUCAAAUAGCCCUACUCUUUCUUUAAUUUUGCAUUGACCCCGGUUAUUUUAUGAUUUUCUCCUUUUAGUCAAUAUUAAUUGUUGUUACUGGAUUUUCCCCUGAGACCUAGAGCGAGCCCAUAAUGUUCAUGCUCGUGGACUUCCCUGCCCCGAGAACCAAGCCCAAUAAUCUUGAGGCCCUUGCAGGUUUAUCCAAGAAAGGUGCCUCUGUCAGGAUAAGAAAAGUGAAUUUGGGGUUUUGAGUCGAUUUUCAGCCUAAUAACAGCGGACGGUCAUGAUCUUUGACAAACAUCAAAAGAUCGAUUAAUAUGAAAAAAUCCAUCACAAUAACCAUGUGUAUGAGUGUGAGUGUGAGUGUGAGUGUGAGCGUGAGCGUGAGUUAUUUUAAUUUCUAGGCAUUUAUUGAAUGAAAUUGACGAUUGCUCGUUUUGAAUGUGUUAUUUUUCAGUCACAUCCUAUUUUUGCUUCUAUCUGUCUUUACGACAAAAUUUUAUCAUCAACCUGCAAGCAAUCAUGCACAAGCAGCCAAAAAAAAACCUAUUAUCAUCGCCCCACUGGCUCUUAUUUUCAAGCUCAAAACCAAUCUCAGUACAUUGGGAUAAGGCGAGAUGCAGAGAACAGCCACUGCCAGCUCUAGAAGAUGUGAAAUAAAGAAGACCAUCAAAAUCCUUAAUUAUCGCUUGUCUAUAUCAUGGUUUUAAAGACAAACAAUCUUGAUGGGCUCUCUUACAUAAGACGUAUAGAUCCAAUGAAAACUAGAUCGAAACGUUUAGACACAAGACUUUUGCUUUGAUAUCAUAUAAAGAGUAUAUUUAUAAUACAAUGUAUUAUUGUUUGGCACAUUGUCUCUAAGUCUCAAUAAAAAAAUUUAAGUUUUUCGUUGUUAAGUUCUUAAAUUUCAUGUAUUAUACAUAAUAUAUUAUGAGUUGGGAGUCAUAAACUCAUGAAUAUGGAAACUCAGGAUAAAAAGUUUGAGUUUUUUUUUAAAUAAUUUAUUUAGGUAUUUUUUUUAUAGAAGUCCAUGGACUUACUCAAAUGCUAACUAAGUCUUGAGGGUUGCCUAAGCCUUUAUAUACCUAACCAAAAAUUUAUUAUCAAACAAUGUGAGAUAUUAUCUCUAACCCUCAACGGUGUGGAGUACAAUCUUUAAUGACAUAUUCCUUUGAAGAAAUUUAAAAAAAAAAAAAACUUGGUUAGGUAUUUCAAAAAGGGGAGAUUGCCAAAUUCUCUUUAUUAUAAUUAAUAUAUAUCAUUUACUCCCUUAACUGUUUUUAUAAUAGCCAAUAACUCCUUAACAACAUUAGUUUAUAAUAUUAUCCUUAUUUUCAAAUACACUUUUAUUUUUAUUUAUUAUAAAUUAAAUAAAUCAUAUGAAUAGAAACUGAAUAAAAAAUAAGUAUUAAAAACAAUAAAUAUAUGUUUUGAUGUGAACAAAAAAAUUAGUAAUAAAAUUUUUUCUUGUACUUUUUUAUUUUCUAAACAUUUUCUUCUAAUAAAUAUUUUGUAAAUUAUAAAAUUAAAUGUAAAAAGUACAAUAACAAUAUUUUAUUAUUUAUUUUAUAAUACUAUUUUAAUUUCCAUUCAUGUAAUUUAUUUAAUCUAUAAUAAAUAUGAAUGAGAGUGUGAUUGAAAAUAAGGGAAAUAUUAUAAAUUUAUAUUAUUAAGAGAGUUAUUAGUUAUUAUAAAAAUAAUAAGAGAUAAAUAAUAUAUAUUUAUUACAGUAUAGGAACCUCUCUUCAAAAAACCUUGACACAUACGUUCUAUAAAUAUAACCCUCUAGCCAAAGCUGUGACAUACACCAAGCAGAGGAUAAUUGAUAUCAUAACUGUUGCUUUCAAAAUGAGGCUUAUUGGGUCCUUACUAAUUUUCUCUCUGGUUUUAUCUUUUGUACUAGGAGGCUCAGCACAGAACUGUGGAAGCGGCGUUGUGUGCCCAGGAGGGGAGUGUUGUAGUCGAUUUGGUUGGUGUGGCCUAACAACAGACUACUGUUGUGAAGGCUGCCAAAGUAACUGUAAUCAGGUUGUUUGCGGUGAAUGUGAUCCCGACGACGGGACGGCUGGCGAUGGCGGUGAACUGGGCAAGAUCAUCUCAAGGAAGAUGUUUGAAGACUUGCUUGAGUAUAGAAAUGAUAAACGAUGCCCUGCCAGAUGCUUCUACACUUAUGAUGCUUUUAUAGAGGCAGCCAAAGCUUUUCCAGCCUUUGGUAAUUCUGGAAAUGAAACCAUGCGUAAAAGAGAAAUUGCUGCCUUUUUUGCCCAAACUGGCCAUGAAACUACUGGUUUGUUUCAAUUCCUGAUCAGCUUAAUUAAAUUUAAAGACUCCUUUUUCCGGUGCACUAACAAGUAAUUAAAUUUUAAUUUGUUACUAAUCAAUUUUUGUGGUUAAUAAACUUACAGGGGGAUGGCCCGAUGCACCUGGUGGCGAAUAUGCUUGGGGAUAUUGCUUUAAUAGGGAAGUUGGUGCUGCGUCGUCCGACUACUGUGAUCCUAACUAUCCAUGUCGAGGGAAGUACUAUGGCCGAGGUCCAAUUCAACUCACUUGGUAGGCUGAACAUUUUGAAUUAGUAUAUCAUUGUCUGAUCUGAAUGAGAAAGUCUUGCCCUCUUGAAUUGAAAACUUGUUAAAUGUGCAUUUACAUUCUAUCCAACAUUAAUUAUUCACUAACUUCUUGGUGUACAGGAAUUGCAAUUACUUAAGGUGCGGAGAAGCCUUGGGGGUGGACUUGUUGAACAAUCCAGAC